UACAGAGGUCUCAAGCGUUGUUCGGAUUCAUUGGGCGUAAAGGGUGCGUAGGCGGCGCGGUAAGUCGGGUGUGAAAUCUUGGAGCUUAACUCCGAAACUGCAUUCGAUACUGCCGUGCUUGAGGACUGGAGAGGAGACUGGAAUUUACGGUGUAGCGGUGAAAUGCGUAGAUAUCGUAAGGAAGACCAGUGGCGAAGGCGGGUCUCUGGGCCGGAACUGACGCUGAGGAGCGAAAGCGUGGGAGCGAACAGG
Molecule: ribosomal RNA, 252 nt
Filed under: uncultured bacterium
Lineage: Bacteria
Description: partial 16S ribosomal RNA
Rfam family: Bacterial small subunit ribosomal RNA
Source: RNAcentral